Molecule: RNA transcript, 973 nt
Organism: Diospyros lotus (date-plum)
Lineage: Eukaryota; Viridiplantae; Streptophyta; Magnoliopsida; Ericales; Ebenaceae
Gene name: protein OPI10 homolog
Exons: 4
Source: RefSeq, a predicted model, not a curated record
CGGCCGGUGAAUGAUCGCCGAUAUUCUAGAAUAUUCUCGACACUACUGGACCUUUCUCAAGUCCAACUCUAUACCUCUACCAGCUCCCCAACGGAGCUCACUCUGCAACUGCGAGAAACGCUGCCGCCGUGACAACAUACGUUUUUGCAGUAUCUUUCUAGAAAUUGAGAAAGAGAAGAAUGUUCGGCGUGGUGUUCCCGAACCGGAGCUUCCCAAUGGACAUCUCCACCUUCGCUCAAAUCGAUACAACCCAUUGGAUUCUCGACAUGAAAACUUUUGUCGGGGAGGCCUACGAUUCGAUUCGGGAGCUCUGCAUCUUCCUCCUCAACGGCCUUACCCUGCCGCCAGAAAAAGCCCUAGCGGUGUACAUCCAGUCGCCCGGAUCGGCCUUCCUCUACUGUGGGGCGGUGACGGUGGCUCGACCGUCAGCGGUGCUGUCGCUGCCGUGGCCGGAGCCCGGUGGUCAGCUUCAGCUCAUGGCCCCGGACGCCUCCCCGCUCUCCGCGAAGAUCGGCGUCUCGGUGGAGGACCUCGCCACCCUCCCCUCCCUCGACGUCGCCGCUGAGAAGCGGAUCGAACAUUUGGCGAUGAAGGUCGGCGAGAAUCUGUUCAAUUUCAUGCAAUCGUUCUGCGGCGUCGACGGUAGCAAGCUUAUUGUGCCCAUGGAUAUAUUGGAUAGGUGGUUCAAGAAAUUCCAAGAUCGCGCUAAGCGUGAUCCUGAGUAUCUCAAGGGUUUUGCGUUGUAGUUUAGGAGUUUGAUCAGUAAUUUGCUGGAGGUAAUAGCACAUAUCGGAGAAUUCUUUUGUUUCAAGAAAUGGCAUGAUGGCAUAAGUCAUAACAAACAAAGAGAAGUUGCUUCUGAAGGGAAAUUACCAGAAGUUGUCCGGUUUGCAUUUGAACGUGACGUAGACCCCCAUUCCUAGAGAAGGAGCUUUUUACAUUGGCUGGACUUGUUCGUGUUAAUGCACAUGCU